This 497-nucleotide ribosomal RNA is filed under the name uncultured bacterium. RNAcentral describes it as "partial 16S ribosomal RNA". It matches the Rfam family "Bacterial small subunit ribosomal RNA", at positions 28 to 507 of the family's 1533-position model. The record is from RNAcentral.
GAUGAACGCUGGCGGCGUGCCUAAUACAUGCAAGUCGAGCGAACAGACGAGGAGCUUGCUCCUUUGACGUUAGCGGCGGACGGGUGAGUAACACGUUGGUAACCUACCUAUAAGACUGGGAUAACUUCGGGAAACCGGAGCUAAUACCGGAUAAUAUUUCGAACCGCAUGGUUCGAUAGUGAAAGAUGGCUCUGCUAUCACUUAUAGAUGGACCUGCGCCGUAUUAGCUAGUUGGUAAGGUAACGGCUUACCAAGGCAACGAUACGUAGCCGACCUGAGAGGGUGAUCGGCCACACUGGAACUGAGACACGGUCCAGACUCCUACGGGAGGCAGCAGUAGGGAAUCUUCCGCAAUGGGCGAAAGCCUGACGGAGCAACGCCGCGUGAGUGAUGAAGGUCUUCGGAUCGUAAAACUCUGUUAUUAGGGAAGAACAAACGUGUAAGUAACUGUGCACGUCUUGACGGUACCUAAUCAGAAAGCCACGGCUAACUACGUG